GAUGCCACAGGAGGCAGUCAUAGGAACAAUUGGUGAUUAAUCGUACAAUAUUGAUCCCCGGAACCAAGGGUUGCUGGCAGGGCAUUUACACCUUGUGAUGUGGCCCUAAAUUUAAGCAAGAAACAGGCAAAGCAUUUUAUAAGAAGCAUAGAGAGCAGGUUAGCAAACUUAGGCAGGCCUAAACCAAAGUGACUCCAUUUUGUGACUGGGUUCCACAGAAUGACUUGGGCUGAGCUAAGAAAUUUUUUUGCCCGUGCUACCUCUAUCCAUGCUCUGAAGCAGCAUCUGGCAAGUGCAGAGGCUUUCUCUCUACUCAAGCUUCUCUCCACUGUGGUGGGGAAAAUGUAGGUCUCAGGGUGGCCUGACCACAGGUCAGUAACUGAGAACUCAUCUGAUAGCACCUGACAGGUGCAUGGCAAUGUGGUAAUGUGCAAUCCCAUUUCACAGUGGUAAAUCAUUACCUGCACUACAGUAGAGGAUUAUCUCAGUCUGGGAAAUCGCUGGCAACUCUGCACUUGUCCAGAGUGAUUACAAUUUAUGCUUGGCAUUUGGCACAGCAGUUAAAUAAAAAUUUGAAAUAAAUAAAUCUACACAGCCAUAUAAAAGAAUGAAAUCUUGUCUUUUGCAACUAAAUGAAGGUAACUGGAAACCAUUAUGCUUAGUGAGAGUAUUUCACACACUUUCUUUGCUGACUUUGUGAUGUUGCCCUAUACCGAUGUCUGGCACAAAGACUAAAGAAGCAGUCAGGUACUUUGUGGACUUACUAAUAUGUAGACAGGUUUGUCUUGGGAUCAUCACCUUCUACACUUAUUACCUCGUGACUGACUGCUGGCCUUUGU
Long non-coding RNA from Ochotona princeps (American pika), 839 nucleotides. RefSeq lists it as uncharacterized. The record is from RefSeq and is a predicted model, not a curated record. Lineage: Eukaryota; Metazoa; Chordata; Mammalia; Lagomorpha; Ochotonidae. The transcript has 3 exons.